AGUGAACGCUGGCGGUAGGCCUAACACAUGCAAGUCGAACGGCAGCACAGUAAGAGCUUGCUCUUACGGGUGGCGAGUGGCGGACGGGUGAGGAAUACAUCGGAAUCUACUUUUUCGUGGGGGAUAACGUAGGGAAACUUACGCUAAUGCCGCAUACGACCUACGGGUGAAAGCAGGGGAUCUUCGGACCUUGCGCGAUUGAAUGAGCCGAUGUCGGAUUAGCUAGUUGGCGGGGUAAAGGCCCACCAAGGCGACGAUACGUAGCUGGUCUGAGAGGAUGAUCAGCCACACUGGAACUGAGACACGGUCCAGACUCCUACGGGAGGCAGCAGUGGGGAAUAUUGGACAAUGGGCGCAAGCCUGAUCCAGCCAUGCCGCGUGAGUGAAGAAGGCCUUCGGAUUGUAAAGCCCUCUUGUUGGGGAAGAACAGCAGCGGGUUAAUACCUCGCUGUUUUGACGGUACCCAAAGAAUAAGCACCGGCUAACUUCGUG
This 492-nucleotide ribosomal RNA is filed under the name uncultured bacterium. RNAcentral describes it as "partial 16S ribosomal RNA". It matches the Rfam family "Bacterial small subunit ribosomal RNA", at positions 29 to 507 of the family's 1533-position model. The record is from RNAcentral.